GGGAAUGUGGCUAAGUGGUAGAGUGCUUACCUGGUAUGUUUGAGGCCCUGGGUUCAAUCCUUAGUACUACUA
Molecule: transfer RNA, 72 nt
Filed under: Ictidomys tridecemlineatus (thirteen-lined ground squirrel)
Lineage: Eukaryota; Metazoa; Chordata; Mammalia; Rodentia; Sciuridae
Description: Spermophilus tridecemlineatus (thirteen-lined ground squirrel) tRNA
Rfam family: tRNA
About the family: Transfer RNA (tRNA) molecules are approximately 80 nucleotides in length. Their secondary structure includes four short double-helical elements and three loops (D, anti-codon, and T loops).
Source: Rfam by way of RNAcentral